GUCCUGGCAAGCAGCACCAAACACGUGGCCCUGAUGGCUUCAGACGGACGCAGACCCCGCGGGCCCUGGGACUUCUCCAAAGCAGGAGUGCAGAGAGAAUGCAUGAAACUUGAUGGGUCUGCAGAUACAUCAGCACUCACACCUAUGCACUGAUGGAUGUCCACAACUUCUUAUGUUGCAUGUGUCUCAAGUAUGGUUUCAUGAGAGAGAUUGAAGCUUUGGGGAGUUUGUGUAAAGUUCAAUCUAGCACAUGGGAAUCCAGAUUCUGAUCUGAUCUCUUGGCACUUUUCUGUAUAAAUAUUAAAUAAUAAUGAUUUGUUGUGCCUCUGAAUGUAA
Rhea pennata is the source of this 336-nucleotide long non-coding RNA. RefSeq lists it as uncharacterized. The record is from RefSeq and is a predicted model, not a curated record. The transcript is spliced from 2 exons. NCBI's taxonomy places the organism in Eukaryota, Metazoa, Chordata, Aves, Rheiformes, Rheidae.